This 253-nucleotide ribosomal RNA is filed under the name uncultured prokaryote. RNAcentral's name for it is "partial 16S ribosomal RNA". It matches the Rfam family "Bacterial small subunit ribosomal RNA", at positions 524 to 776 of the family's 1533-position model. The record is from RNAcentral.
UACGAAGGGGGCUAGCGUUGCUCGGAAUGACUGGGCGUAAAGGGCGCGUAGGCGGUGUAUGUAGUCAGAUGUGAAAUUCCUGGGCUCAACCUGGGGACUGCAUUUGAUACGCGUACGCUUGAGUGUGGAAGAGGGUCGUGGAAUUCCCAGUGUAGAGGUGAAAUUCGUAGAUAUUGGGAAGAACACCGGUGGCGAAGGCGGCGACCUGGUCCAUAACUGACGCUGAGGCGCGAAAGCGUGGGGAGCAAACAGG